Molecule: long non-coding RNA, 359 nt
Filed under: Spirodela polyrhiza (greater duckweed)
Lineage: Eukaryota; Viridiplantae; Streptophyta; Magnoliopsida; Alismatales; Araceae
Description: long non-coding RNA (SPOL_LNC001260)
Source: RNAcentral
GGAAAUCGGGAAAUAUUGAGAUCUUCUGCGUUUCAGUUUCCAUCAAAGCUCCGAUGCUUGCGAUCGCAAGUGACUGAAGGUACCUGAAUGGCGAAACGCCCAAGUCAGUCUGGGCUGCUCGCGGGCGGCCAAGACCACGCGGUCGGGCGGGCAUACCUCCAUACACUGGCGGAAGAGGGAUGUGCGAUAGAGAGGCGGACGGAGCCGGCUGGAUGAGAGAAACGGUGCCUGGCUACGCAGGGCAAGCUGGGGAGACGGAAGGUGGCUGAGGAGGUGGAUGAGGAGGGGCGGGUGAGUGCGAAGGACGAGGAGGUGUACGAAACUAGUGAUGGCUUCUUCAAGCCGUAAUUCACUCCAAG